UCCCUCCACUUAUUUUUAUUCUUGGACUUUUUUAUACAAUAAUUUUUUAAAAUUUUAUUAUUUGCGAAAUAAUUUUACCAAAAUUAUAUUUAAAAAACUAAUCUCUUAAAAACGGUGAAUGGUUCACCGCCUUUACCUUCUAAAAAAAGCGGUGAAUUAUUCAUCACCUCUCACUUGUUUAUUAUUUUAUUUCUAUAAAAUCCUAACAACCACAUAAAUAUUUCAACAAAUUACAUAUAAUUUUAAUAAUCUAAAAAUUUUAAUAAUUUAUCCAUACAAUCCUAACAAUCGAUCCUAAUAAUCUAUUCAUACAAUCGUAAUAAUCAAAUAUCACAUAUAAUUUUAACAAUUUAAAAAUUCUAAUAAUAUAUCAAUAUAAUCCUAAUAAUUAAUAAAUUUUUAAUAAUCUAUCCAUACAAUUCUAAUAAUUAAACAAAAAUUCUAAUAUUUCACACACAAUCCUAACAACCUCACUUUUUUUAUUUUCCGUAUAAUCUACGUACAAUUUUAACAACUUUAUUUUUUUCUCUUUUUCAAAAAAUUAUGAAAAAUUCACCGUCUUUAAAAGACGGUGAAUGAUUCACCGUCUUUAAAAGACCUUAAAAGAAUUUUAGAAUGCGGUGAAUGAUUCACCGUUUUUCGAGAGUUAAUUUGUCAAAUAUAAAUUUAAAAGGGUUAGUUCAUAAAUUAUAAAAUUUUGGAUCGUUGUUUUGUAAAAAAAGUG
RNAcentral lists this long non-coding RNA (724 nucleotides) under Ananas comosus (pineapple). Its description in RNAcentral is "long non-coding RNA (ACOM_LNC018836)". Lineage: Eukaryota; Viridiplantae; Streptophyta; Magnoliopsida; Poales; Bromeliaceae. The record is from RNAcentral.